UACGGAGGGUGCGAGCGUUGUCCGGAAUCACUGGGCGUAAAGGGCGCGUAGGCGGCGCGGGAAGACCGUGGUGAAAGCCCGAGGCUCAACUUCGGGUCGGCCAUGGAUACUCCUGGGCUCGAGCACUGUAGAGGCAGGUGGAAUUCCGGGUGUAGCGGUGGAAUGCGUAGAGAUCCGGAAGAACACCGGUGGCGAAGGCGGCCUGCUGGGCAGUAGCUGACGCUGAGGCGCGACAGCGUGGGGAGCAAACAGG
RNAcentral lists this ribosomal RNA (253 nucleotides) under uncultured bacterium. RNAcentral's name for it is "partial 16S ribosomal RNA". It matches the Rfam family "Bacterial small subunit ribosomal RNA", at positions 524 to 776 of the family's 1533-position model. The record is from RNAcentral.